CCGGUCUGGUCGGUUGCGCGCGCGGCACGAACGGCUCUGCUACGUUUCAGCUAGACGGGGAAUCCGUUCGUCGCGAUCCGCUUUGCAUUUUUACUUACACAAAAACGAGAUUUGCACGCGGUGAAUCUUGCGGAGAAAGAAAUACAAGGGGGAGAAAGGGAGAAAAGGAGACUUCUCGGCUGGAAGACGAGAAGAGCGAAUACUUUUAACGAGCGGUGACACGCGAGCCACGUUCGUCACGAAAAUUUCACGUACACCAGAGCAAAUGGAAGAAGAAAUUACUGGGGCCCGCUAAUGACACCGUGGCCGGAUAAUGUGCGCCGAGCAACGUGCUUUAGCGACUGUAAUUCGAGCUAAUCGUUACGCGACGAGCGUGCGGACAAGAGGGUGCCGUUUUUUUGUACACCGUUUCUGUGCCAAUGUUUCGCGCGAGAAUGCUGCUUCGUCGCAUUGAAUAUCGUUCAACGGCUUUAAUCGUAAAAUAUUACUAUUCGUUGUUUUAAAUAUACGGGGUUUAAAAAGAUCGACCGGACAAGAUCUCCGUUUUUCAUAUUUUACGUUUUUUUACAUUCGAUAUGUGAAAUUCUUUAUUAAUGUUACAGAAUUUUUUUUUCAUUUCGUAAUUUAACGGCAUUUCAUAGCUAAUGAAUUAAAAAUCGGUAAAAUUAGAACGAAUUAAUCGAUAUAUGGAUAUUAUAAUUGUAUAUUUCUAUCAAAUUUUAUCAAUUUUCUCGCAAUCAGUGCAAAAAAAAAAUUUUUUUAAACGUCGAUUUCCAUAAUGAAAAUUUAUAAAAACGCAUAUUAAAUAAACGUGUAAUUACGGAAUUAAUUUACCGCUUUACUUCGUUAAUUCAUGAUCGCAAAAUCGUAUAUGAAGCAUCAAGAUUGUUCAUCUGUAGAGAUACAAAAAUUUGUGUCUCAUGAUUCGAUUUGUGUGAUGUUACAAAUCGCAGAAUCAUAAAGAAAAAAUGAAAAAUGCAGAAAAAACACAUUAAGAAAAAUCAAAAAUUUUCUUUAGCCCUAUUUUUAAAAAUUUUUUUUUCUUCUUUCUUUCGUCCUCAAAGCGCCAAUUCUCGAUUGAUCAUCAGAAAUAGCGUAUUAAUCCGACGAAUUCUUGUAAAAAUUCUGUUGUAUGGUUAAUUCAAUGAUUCAAAUUGAUAUAAAGAAUUUAUAAAAGAAAAUAAAAAUAAUUAAUUAAAAAUCAGAGUGGAAUCACUGGAAAGAAAUAUUUGUCAUCGCUUGUCAUCGAAGUGGAGCACUCGAUACGAAAUUCCUUGCUUCGCUAUCUUCUGACAUAUCGACGACGUAUUUAUAAUAGAUAAGUCUGCAAUAAAAAUAUUUUCGUCCG
Long non-coding RNA from Apis cerana (Asiatic honeybee), 1348 nucleotides. RefSeq lists it as uncharacterized. The record is from RefSeq and is a predicted model, not a curated record. NCBI's taxonomy places the organism in Eukaryota, Metazoa, Arthropoda, Insecta, Hymenoptera, Apidae.